This 444-nucleotide ribosomal RNA is filed under the name uncultured bacterium. RNAcentral's name for it is "SSU rRNA". It matches the Rfam family "Bacterial small subunit ribosomal RNA", at positions 26 to 518 of the family's 1533-position model. The record is from RNAcentral.
AGAACGAACGCUGGCGGCAGGCCUAACACAUGCAAGUCGAACGCUCCAGCAAUGGAGAGUGGCAGACGGGUGAGUAACGCGUGGGAACCUACCAUACGGUCGGGAAUAGCUCAGGGAAACUUGGGGUAAUACCGGAUACGCCCUUCGGGGGAAAGAUUUAUCGCCGUUUGAUGGGCCCGCGUCGGAUUAGCUAGUUGGUGGGUAACGGCCUACCAAGGCAACGAUCCGUAGCUGGUCUGAGAGGAUGAUCAGCCACACUGGGACUGAGACACGGCCCAGACUCCUACGGGAGGCAGCAGUGGGGAAUAUUGGACAAUGGGCGCAAGCCUGAUCCAGCCAUGCCGCGUGAGUGACGAAGGUCUUCGGAUUGUAAAACUCUUUUGGCGGGGACGAUAAUGACGGUACCGCAGAAUAAGCCCCGGCUAACUUCGUGCCAGCAGCCGC